Molecule: ribosomal RNA, 451 nt
Filed under: uncultured bacterium
Lineage: Bacteria
Description: partial 16S ribosomal RNA
Rfam family: Bacterial small subunit ribosomal RNA
Source: RNAcentral
GAUGAACGCUGGCGGCGUGCCUAACACAUGCAAGUCGAACGGCAGCGAGGGGUGCUUGCACCCUGUCGGCGAGCGGCGGACGGCUGAGUAACGCGUGGGAACGUGCCCCAAAGUGAGGAAUAACUGCCCGAAAGGGUAGCUAAUACCGCAUAUUAUCUUCGGAUCAAAGGAUUUAUCCGCUUUGGGAGCGGCUCGCGUCGGAUUAGGUAGUUGGUGAGGUAAUGGCUCACCAAGCCGACGAUCCGUAGCUGGUCUGAGAGGAUGACCAGCCAGACUGGAACUGAGACACGGUCCAGACUCCUACGGGAGGCAGCAGUGAGGAAUCUUCCACAAUGGGCGAAAGCCUGAUGGAGCAACGCCGCGUGCAGGACGAAGGCCUUCGGGUUGUAAACUGCUUUUAUAAGUGAGGAAUAUGACGGUAACUUAUGAAUAAGGAUCGGCUAACUACGUG